Molecule: transfer RNA, 73 nt
Filed under: Camelus bactrianus (Bactrian camel)
Lineage: Eukaryota; Metazoa; Chordata; Mammalia; Artiodactyla; Camelidae
Also listed under: 2 other names
Rfam family: tRNA
About the family: Transfer RNA (tRNA) molecules are approximately 80 nucleotides in length. Their secondary structure includes four short double-helical elements and three loops (D, anti-codon, and T loops). Further hydrogen bonds mediate the characteristic L-shaped molecular structure. tRNAs have two regions of fundamental functional importance: the anti-codon, which is responsible for specific mRNA codon recognition, and the 3' end, to which the tRNAs corresponding amino acid is attached (by aminoacyl-tRNA synthetases). tRNAs cope with the degeneracy of the genetic code in two manners: having more than one tRNA (with a specific anti-codon) for a particular amino acid; and 'wobble' base-pairing, i.e. permitting non-standard base-pairing at the 3rd anti-codon position.
Source: Rfam by way of RNAcentral
GGGUAUAUAGCUCAAGUGAUAGAGCACAUGCUUGGCAUGCAUGAGGUCCUGGGUUCAAUACCCAGUACCUCCU